GUGUUUGCUUCAGCAGCACAUGUACUAACACUGGAACGAUACAGAGAAGAUUAGCAUGGCCCCUAAGCAAGGAUGACACACAGAUUCGUGAAGAAAGCUUUUCUGUA
Molecule: small nuclear RNA, 107 nt
Organism: Mesocricetus auratus (golden hamster)
Lineage: Eukaryota; Metazoa; Chordata; Mammalia; Rodentia; Cricetidae
Source: RefSeq, a predicted model, not a curated record